AGCUGCACAAGUGCUUUCUGGGACAUGGCCAGAGCCCUUCCACCACCUUCCCAUAGUCAGGCAAUUGCUCUGGCUGCUUCUGCUGCUUCAAGCUCUGAUAAUGGAAAUGAACCAGGAUGAAAGAAAAGUGGUGCCUUGAUGGUAAAAAGGAAAUUGCUGCAGGAGGUUGUAGGAGAUGGUGGCUUCAAGCUGUUGCAAACACCCUUUGGAUCAUCACUGCUGCAACUGCCCAACACCAGGUCACAUAGGAAGCUGCCUUAAGGUUAGUCAGAGUCCUGGCCCAUCCAAGUCAGUACUGUCUACACUGAUUGGAACUGUCUGUCCAGGGUUUCAGAGAAGGAGUCUUAACCAGCUCCAUCUGGACAUGCUAGGGACUCAACCUGGGACAUUCUACCAUGUUCUCUGCCACUGAGCUAUCACCUUUCUUCAAGCAGGAGGUACACAGGAAACUGCUUUACAUAGUCAGACUGUUGGGCCAUCUAGCUCCAUAUCAUCUACACCAGGAAUAGGAAACUUGUGGCCUUCUGUAUGUUGUCAGACUACAUCAGCCCUGACCCCUGGACAUUCUGCCUGGGGAUGGUGGGAAUUCAACUGUAACAAGUUUUGGAGGCGCACAAGGUCUGCAUUCCUGGUGUCCACUGACUGCUGGAAGCUCUCCAGGGUUUUAGACAUGAGAGAUGCUGGGGAUAGAACUAGAGACCUUCUACAUGCAGAGUAUUUGCUCUACCACUGAGCCAUUGAUCAUAAAACACUAGACUGAGAGUCUCCCUUAAUCCUGGAAUUGACUCUGCCAGGCCACUCUCUACUUCAAACAUAAGCAGGAAACCAGUGCACAAAGAAGGACAUGUCACUUGGCUCUCACUUUAGCACCAUCUUCACCAAUCAGCUGUUUUGGAUUCCAACUCCCAAUAUCCCCAGGCAGCAUGUGGCUGGUUGGUGAAGCCUGGCCUGGCACCUCAAGCAUCAGAAAGCUCUUAAGACCUACAUAAGGGUGUAGGGGCAUUCCGUCCAGAACCUAAAAUUGUCUAUGUUGUUAGCCCAGAUUACUUCUCUUAGGCUCUAAAACACCCUGAUGCUGUGGGUGUUUUCCCAUAUUGCAACAGGAAACAAACAGAAAU
This is a long non-coding RNA of Zootoca vivipara (common lizard), 1118 nucleotides long. RefSeq lists it as uncharacterized. The record is from RefSeq and is a predicted model, not a curated record. Lineage: Eukaryota; Metazoa; Chordata; Lepidosauria; Squamata; Lacertidae.